AUUGAACGCUGGCGGCAGGCCUAACACAUGCAAGUCGAGCGGAUGCAGGGAGCUUGCUCCUGGAUUCAGCGGCGGACGGGUGAGUAAUGCCUAGGAAUCUGCCUGGUAGUGGGGGAUAACGUCCGGAAACGGGCGCUCAUACCGCAUACGUCCUGAGGGAGAAAGUGGGGGAUCUUCGGACCUCACGCUAUCAGAUGAGCCUAGGUCGGAUUAGCUAGUUGGUGGGGUAAAGGCCUACCAAGGCGACGAUCCGUAACUGGUCUGAGAGGAUGAUCAGUCACACUGGAACUGAGACACGGUCCAGACUCCUACGGGAGGCAGCAGUGGGGAAUAUUGGACAAUGGGCGAAAGCCUGAUCCAGCCAUGCCGCGUGUGUGAAGAAGGUCUUCGGAUUGUAAAGCACUUUAAGUUGGGAGGAAGGGCAGUAAGUUAAUACCUUGCUGUUUUGACGUUACCAACAGAAUAAGCACCGGCUAACUUCGUG
Molecule: ribosomal RNA, 484 nt
Filed under: uncultured bacterium
Lineage: Bacteria
Description: partial 16S ribosomal RNA
Rfam family: Bacterial small subunit ribosomal RNA
Source: RNAcentral